AUGAACGCUGGCGGCGUGCCUAAUACCUGCCAGUCGAGCGCACAGACGAGGAGCUUGCUCCUCCGACGUUAGCGGCGGACGGGUGAGUAACACGUGGAUAACCUACCUAUAAGACUGGGAUAACUUCGGGAAACCGGAGCUAAUACCGGAUAAUAUAUUGAACCGCAUGGUUCAAUAGUGAAAGACGGUUUUGCUGUCACUUAUAGAUGGAUCCGCGCCGCAUUAGCUAGUUGGUAAGGUAACGGCUUACCAAGGCAACGAUGCGUAGCCGACCUGAGAGGGUGAUCGGCCACACUGGAACUGAGACACGGUCCAGACUCCUACGGGAGGCAGCAGUAGGGAAUCUUCCGCAAUGGGCGAAAGCUUGACGGAGCAACGCCGCGUGAGUGAUGAAGGUCUUCGGAUCGUAAAACUCUGUUAUUAGGGAAGAACAAAUGUGUAAGUAACUAUGCACGUCUUGACGGUACCUAAUCAGAAAGCCACGGCUAACUACGUG
This 496-nucleotide ribosomal RNA is filed under the name uncultured bacterium. RNAcentral's name for it is "partial 16S ribosomal RNA". It matches the Rfam family "Bacterial small subunit ribosomal RNA", at positions 29 to 507 of the family's 1533-position model. The record is from RNAcentral.